UGGGGAAUAUUGGACAAUGGGCGCAAGCCUGAUCCAGCCAUGCCGCGUGAGUGAUGACGGCCUUAGGGUUGUAAAGCUCUUUCGCACGGGACGAUAAUGACGGUACCGUGAGAAGAAGCCCCGGCUAACUUCGUGCCAGCAGCCGCGGUAAUACGAAGGGGGCUAGCGUUGCUCGGAAUCACUGGGCGUAAAGGGCGCGUAGGCGGACGUUUAAGUCAGGGGUGAAAGCCCGGAGCUCAACUCCGGAAUGGCCCUUUGAUACUGGGCGUCUCGAGUCUGGUAGAGGUUGGUGGAAACUGCGAGUGUAGAGGUGAAAUUCGUAGAUAUUCGCAAGAACACCAGUGGCGAAGGCGGCCAACUGGACCAGCACUGACGCUGAGGCGCGAAAAGCGUGGGGAUCAAACAGGAUUAGAUACCCCGGUAGUCCACGCCGUAAACGAUGGAUGCCAGCUGUUGGCCGGCUUGCCGGUCAGUGGCGCCGUUAACGCAUUAAGCAUCCCGCCUGGGGAGUACGGUCGCAAGAUUAAAAACUUAAAAGGAAUUGACGGGGGUCAUAGCUGUUUCCU
RNAcentral lists this ribosomal RNA (566 nucleotides) under uncultured bacterium. RNAcentral describes it as "partial 16S ribosomal RNA". It matches the Rfam family "Bacterial small subunit ribosomal RNA", at positions 355 to 938 of the family's 1533-position model. The record is from RNAcentral.